AACCUUUACACUGCACGACAGUGCGAUAAGGGAAUCCCAAGUGCGUAGGCAUAGAGCCUACGCUUUUGUCCACCGUAGGGAGGUGGACGAAUAAGGGCUGGGCAAGACCGGUGCCAGCCGCCGCGGUAAUACCGGCAGCUCGAGUGAUGUCCAAUAUUAUUGGGCCUAAAGCGUCCGUAGCUGGCCAGCCAAGUUCGUCGGGAAAUCCACCUGCCCAACAGGUGGGCGUCCGGCGAAAACUGUCUGGCUUGGAACCGGAAGGCUCAGAGGGUACGUCGAGGGUAGGAGUGAAAUCCCGUAAUCCUCGACGGACCACCGAUGGCGAAAGCACUCUGAGAAGACGGCUUCGACAGUGAGGGACGAAAGCUAGGGUCUCAAACCGGAUUAGAUACCCGGGUAGUCCUAGCUGUAAACGAUGCUCGUUAGGUGUGGCACCCACUACGAGUGGGUGCUGUGCCGUAGGGAAGCCGCUAAACGAGCCGCCUGGGAAGUACGUCCGCAAGGAUGAAACUUAA
This 515-nucleotide ribosomal RNA is filed under the name uncultured archaeon. Its description in RNAcentral is "bacterial SSU rRNA". It matches the Rfam family "Archaeal small subunit ribosomal RNA", at positions 345 to 859 of the family's 1478-position model. The record is from RNAcentral.